Molecule: small nuclear RNA, 23 nt
Filed under: Arabidopsis thaliana (thale cress)
Lineage: Eukaryota; Viridiplantae; Streptophyta; Magnoliopsida; Brassicales; Brassicaceae
Description: snRNA_07178
Source: RNAcentral
UAGCUAUGUGUUUUGUUUCAUAU